CCGUGCUCCAACACCGAUUUUGCUGUAUACGGCGGUGUCUCCUCUCGGUUUGGCCAGCUUUGGUCGAUUUUGACUGAUCCGUUAUGAAAACCUGCAAACUUCGUGGUUAGACAGCCUAUGUUAGUUGAAAAAAGGAAAAAAGUGAAGCUUACCAACGGGGAGGUUUUCUACUCCGACGGUCGCUCCUCUCUCGCGCUCGGGGAUUUUCUUUGGUUAUCUUAUACCAGAAAAAAGUUAGGAAUCUAAUGGUCAAAAAAUAGAAGGAAAUGGGAAGGGAAGUCGGGCUCACCGGAAUUGUUUUAGGUCGCAGUACGGCGGCUCGGCCAAGCCCCGCUCUCAAUUUCAACUUUUCUUUUACUUUUUCAGCACCGAUAUGAGUAUGGAGAUAUUUAGAAUCGAAUUUUGAAGCGAAAUGGGUAAAAAACUCACAUCCCUGAUGUCGGCAGUGGCUUUGGUGCGACAGCGAUGGUGGCUGGCUUUUCUUCCAGCCGCCCUUCUUUUUCUU
RNAcentral lists this long non-coding RNA (505 nucleotides) under Carica papaya (papaya). RNAcentral's name for it is "long non-coding RNA (CPAP_LNC009700)". The record is from RNAcentral. Lineage: Eukaryota; Viridiplantae; Streptophyta; Magnoliopsida; Brassicales; Caricaceae.